GAUGAAGAACGCAGCGAAACGCGAUACGUAAUGUGAAUUGCAAAUUCAGUGAAUCAUCGAGUCUUUGAACGCACAUUGCGCCCCCUGGUAUUCCGGGGGGCAUGCCUGUCCGAGCGUCAUUGCUGCCCUCAAGCACGGCUUGUGUGUUGGGCCCCGUCCUCCGAUCCCGGGGGACGGGCCCGAAAGGCAGCGGCGGCACCGCGUCCGGUCCUCGAGCGUAUGGGGCUUUGUCACCCGCUCUGUAGGCCCGGCCGGCGCUUGCCGAUCAACCCAAAUUUUUUAUCCAGGUUGACCUCGGAUCAGGUAGGGAUACCCGCUGAACUUAAGCAUAUCAAUAAGCGGAGGA
RNAcentral lists this unclassified non-coding RNA (346 nucleotides) under soil metagenome. Its description in RNAcentral is "partial contains 5.8S ribosomal RNA, internal transcribed spacer 2, and large subunit ribosomal RNA". The stretch from base 1 to 119 matches the Rfam family "5.8S ribosomal RNA", at positions 35 to 154 of the family's 154-position model. The record is from RNAcentral.